RNAcentral lists this unclassified non-coding RNA (564 nucleotides) under Zea mays. Its description in RNAcentral is "misc RNA Zm00001eb270750". Lineage: Eukaryota; Viridiplantae; Streptophyta; Magnoliopsida; Poales; Poaceae. The record is from RNAcentral.
AAGUCUAGAAAUUUAACGACUUAUGGUCGGUCGCUAUAGAGGUAAGUGUGUAACCGAUGGUGGGUCGUUAUAGGGGUAUGUGAUUUUUAUGUUUCUUAUUUACUCACCAAAGCCCAUCUAAAGGCCUACUAAACAAACAAACAAACCCUAUUCCAAGCGCGCAGCCGCCGUCACUUCUCCCAUGGCCGCCCCCUCCCUCAGCCGUGGAGGGUGCCGCCGCCACCUCACCCUUGAUGCUCGCCAUCUCCCUAGCCGCCAUCUCCCUCAUGGCGCCAAGCCCAUGGCUUUCCUGGUGCUCGCCUCUCCCAGCCGUUCCUAUCUCCAGCGCUGGCUGCCAUCUCCUCCACGAGGUGUCUUCUCUGUCGCUACUCCCUGCGUGAUUCCCUUGGCCGGCGUCCUCGACUACUCAGCCAUGGAGGUCGCUGCCCCUUCUUUUCCUCAUCUUCCUCCAUCGGUUCUGAGCUCGGCGCCCCUGCUCCCUGCUCCUGUCCCUCCCAUGGACGCCGCCCCCUCCCUCAGCUCACUCCCUCUAGCUGCCAUGGAGCUCGCCCCUGCCCAAGUCCG